Molecule: ribosomal RNA, 730 nt
Filed under: uncultured Lactobacillus sp.
Lineage: Bacteria; Bacillati; Bacillota; Bacilli; Lactobacillales; Lactobacillaceae
Description: bacterial SSU rRNA
Rfam family: Bacterial small subunit ribosomal RNA
Source: RNAcentral
AACCGGAUUAGAUACCCUGGUAGUCCAUGCCGUAAACGAUGAGUGCUAAGUGUUGGAGGGUUUCCGCCCUUCAGUGCUGCAGCUAACGCAUUAAGCACUCCGCCUGGGGAGUACGACCGCAAGGUUGAAACUCAAAGGAAUUGACGGGGGCCCGCACAAGCGGUGGAGCAUGUGGUUUAAUUCGAUGCUACGCGAAGAACCUUACCAGGUCUUGACAUCUUCUGCUAACCUAAGAGAUUAGGCGUUCCCUUCGGGGACGGAAUGACAGGUGGUGCAUGGUUGUCGUCAGCUCGUGUCGUGAGAUGUUGGGUUAAGUCCCGCAACGAGCGCAACCCUUAUUGUCAGUUGCCAGCAUUUAGUUGGGCACUCUGGCGAGACUGCCGGUGACAAACCGGAGGAAGGUGGGGAUGACGUCAAAUCAUCAUGCCCCUUAUGACCUGGGCUACACACGUGCUACAAUGGACGGUACAACGAGUCGCGAAACCGCGAGGUCAAGCUAAUCUCUUAAAGCCGUUCUCAGUUCGGAUUGCAGGCUGCAACUCGCCUGCAUGAAGUUGGAAUCGCUAGUAAUCGUGGAUCAGCAUGCCACGGUGAAUACGUUCCCGGGCCUUGUACACACCGCCCGUCACACCAUGAGAGUUUGUAACACCCAAAGCCGGUGAGGUAACCUUCGGGAACCAGCCGUCUAAGGUGGGACAGAUGAUUAGGGUGAAGUCGUAACAAGGUAACC